GCCUUGAUAGCUCAGUUGGGAGAGCGUAACACUGAAGAUGUUAAGGUCGCUGGUUCGAGCCCGGCUCAAGGCA
Non-coding RNA from Ochromonadaceae sp. CCMP2298, 73 nucleotides. The record is from the annotation of a GenBank genome assembly. NCBI's taxonomy places the organism in Eukaryota, Synurophyceae, Ochromonadales, Ochromonadaceae.